RNAcentral lists this ribosomal RNA (253 nucleotides) under uncultured bacterium. Its description in RNAcentral is "partial 16S ribosomal RNA". It matches the Rfam family "Bacterial small subunit ribosomal RNA", at positions 524 to 776 of the family's 1533-position model. The record is from RNAcentral.
UACGUAGGUGGCAAGCGUUGUCCGGAAUUAUUGGGCCUAAAGCAUCCGUAGCCGGUCCUGCAAGUCUUCCGUUAAAUCCAGCUGCUCAACAGAUGGGCUGCGGGGGAUACUACAUGGCUAGGAGGCGGGAGAGGCAAGCGGUACUUUAUGGGUAGGGGUAAAAUCCGUUGAUCCAUAGAAGACCACCAGUGGCGAAGGCGGCUUGCCAGAACGCGCUCGACGGUGAGGGAUGAAAGCUGGGGGAGCAAACCGG